AUGUGUGUUGAUAAGGAAGAAGACGGAGCGAGCGUGAGCUCUGAAACCCAAUCUCCACGUGCUCCCGGAGAUCCUGUUCCCUUCUCCAUCCAGCCAGCGCAGAACAACAGUUUCUCUAUUGCCCUGGAAGGAAAAGAACAACAAUGUGAGACAUUUGUAGGCACAAACUAAUCUCCCGAACACAACCUCUAAGCGUAUUUUUUGAAAGACAGGUAAGAUUGCGGAGGUGAGCGUUUCGGCUCAAUUGCACUCCUGUCAUCUCCGUUCUCCUGAAUUGAUGUUAGUCUAAAAAAAGCACGAGUCUUGAGCUUUAUUUGCUGGUGAACACUUUCCCGUCUCAGGGUUUGGUCAAUUCCAUAUAACAUGCUCAAGUCGCAAUGUAUUUAUUCCUGAUUCUUUAUUUAUUAUCAGCUGUUUUGGAGUCUGACGGCACCCAUUCACUGCUGAGCAAGUGAUGCAAUGCUACAUUUCUCUAAAUCUCAUCUCAUCUACAUCUUGGAUGGCUUCAGGCUGAGAACAUUUUCUCAUCUCAGGUGUUUUUUAAUGUGAGACAUGCGCAGAAUUUAAUAUGAAUGUGUGCCUGUUAUUACACACAAGAACCAGGACAGAUGCACCUGCAUAUCAAGAGCCCUUUUAAGAAAACUUUGCAUCUUUGCUCUUGGCGUCUGUUUGUCUUUAUAUCCCACUGUUUCGACGCAGAGAUGAGACAUGGGCUGAAAAGGUGACUCUGUAAGCAGCUCUGGUGAUUUCAUCUGGUGAAAUUGUGCAUUUAAUCCAAUUUCUGCGAUGGUCUGAAUUCAUGUGUGAACGCUGAAAUGAGACGCAUACACCAAGGUUCGCCACUACAGAUGUGGAAGACAUGCAAAGAAGCCUUUAGACAUUGUAUAAUUAAUGAUUAUUUAUAUUCUAUCAAAGAUUACAUUUUAGAAGUGUAGCCAAUGCAUUUAACCCAUGCACACACACACACUGUCGUGUUAAACCCAUGCACUUUUUAACUAUGAAGCAUAACACAAUCUUUAUGCAACUUUGUAUGCAUUUGGAACCACAUGACAGUGAGAUAAAAAUAAGAAGAGCGCUCUUAAAAAUUAAUUAAGAGGCUUCAACAAUUAUGGCAUCUUUCCACAAAAUGUUAGUGGAAAAAACAAAGCGCUGCAGACAGUGCAUGAGAGCCCUGGGAGAUGAGCGCACAUAAAAACACCUGUGCCCCUCAAAUAUCACAGCUCCCGCCUCCGAUCUGGCUGUCUGUGCCAUAGAUCUCUCUACAGCUCUCGUUUUUCUGUUUAUUAAAGGAAAAGUUGACAUCAUAAAGGAAAUGAUGUCGUUAUCUAUCCACCCUUGUCAUUCCAAACCCGUGUGCUGUUUUUUUUUUCUUCUUCUCCUGAGGAAAACGAGGAUGCAUGGUUAUUUUACAUGCAACAACAGAUCACAGUCAAGGAUAUGAAGGAGAGCAAGUUUUAAUCCUAUAACAGUGUAGAAGCAGCCGCUGCAGGACCCCACUGUGAUUAAUAAUGCCGUGCAAGGAGCUGAUCUUUGUUUAGCUGUAGGAUUCUUAGACACCAUAUGCUGGAGGAAAACAAGCUAAUGAAAUCAAAGGAAACGCACACAUGGACCCAGAGAGUUCAGCUACAAUCAACCUCUUUUUGCACACCAGGACAAAAAUUAUAAUAAUAAUAAAAGUGCUGUUGUUUGGGAACCUCUUAUGGGUUUUUGGUUUUCUUUUUUGAAGAAAACCUAAUGUGAAAUGAUUUAGAAAAUGCCCUGUAAUUCAAAUAUCAUGGAUGCAUACUGCCAUCUAGUGACUCUAGUGAUAUUAUUCGAUGAUAUUAUUUCACUCAGAAAUGAAAUCCUGUCAUUAUUUACUCAUUUACUGGACACUAAUGAAUUACUAAGCAUUGGUGCACUGCACUAUUAAAGUUAGUUUAAACAUAAAUGCAUUACUUCAUAGAAAUCUUGUCUUAUGAAAUAUAGUUAACUAAAUUGAGAAAAAAGUAACUUGUAGCUUCUAAUGACUUUAUGCAAAAUGUACACCCCACUUUAAGGAAGACUUUAAGCCGAACAGGUGCAGCUGCUCCAUGUGACUGUUAUUGGCUAUAAUGUGAGGGAGGGAGGAGUUGUUGACAUAACACUUCUAGUUAAAUGAAAGUUAACAGACUGAAAUGAAAGGGUGGGGUGUGAGGGACAGAUAAAGCAUGUUACAUAAUAUCUCCAACAGCAGUUCAAAGAACAGUUCACUGGGUUUAUAAGUAGAGCUAGUGUCUGCUUCUCUAAAAUCAGAAGGUAUACUGGUCAAGUGUGUGU
This is a long non-coding RNA of Carassius auratus (goldfish), 2298 nucleotides long. The record is from Ensembl. Lineage: Eukaryota; Metazoa; Chordata; Actinopteri; Cypriniformes; Cyprinidae.